RNAcentral lists this ribosomal RNA (460 nucleotides) under uncultured bacterium. Its description in RNAcentral is "partial 16S ribosomal RNA". It matches the Rfam family "Bacterial small subunit ribosomal RNA", at positions 338 to 795 of the family's 1533-position model. The record is from RNAcentral.
CCUACGGGAGGCAGCAGUGAGGAAUAUUGGUCAAUGGACGAGAGUCUGAACCAGCCAAGUAGCGUGAAGGAUGACUGCCCUAUGGGUUGUAAACUUCUUUUAUAUGGGAAUAAAAUGUUCCACGUGUGGGAUUUUGUAUGUACCAUAUGAAUAAGGAUCGGCUAACUCCGUGCCAGCAGCCGCGGUAAUACGGAGGAUCCGAGCGUUAUCCGGAUUUAUUGGGUUUAACGGGAGCGUAGGGGGAUUGUUAAGUCAGUUGUGAAAGUUUGCGGCUCAACCGUAAAAUUGCAGUUGAAACUGACAGGCUUGAGUACAGUAGAGGUGGGCGGAAUUCGUGGUGUAGCGGUGAAAUGCGUAGAUAUCACGAAGAACACCGAUUGCGAAGGCAGUUCACUGGACUGCAACUGACACUGAGGCUCGAAAGUGUGGGUAUCAAACAGGAUUAGAUACCCGAGUAGUC